GCCGUCGGACAUGGGAAUGCAGCCUAAAAUUGGAAUGAUACCGAGAUUAGCAUGGCUCCUGUAAAAGGAUGACACGCACAUUCGUGAAGCCCUCCAUAAUAAG
RNAcentral lists this small nuclear RNA (103 nucleotides) under Sphenodon punctatus (tuatara). Lineage: Eukaryota; Metazoa; Chordata; Lepidosauria; Sphenodontia; Sphenodontidae. The record is from RNAcentral.